GACGAACGCUGGCGGCGUGCUUAACACAUGCAAGUCGAGCGGUAAGGCCCUUCGGGGUACACGAGCGGCGAACGGGUGAGUAACACGGGAGUAAUCUGCCCAUCACUUCGGGAUAACUCCGGGAAACCGGUGCUAAUACCGAAUAUGACCACUUCAGGCAUCUGAUGGUGGUGGAAAGUUCCGGCGGUGAUGGAUGGGCUCGCGGCCUAUCAGCUUGUUGGUGGGGUAGUGGCCUACCAAGGCUUCGACGGGUAGCCGGCCUGAGAGGGUGACCGGCCACACUGGGACUGAGACACGGCCCAGACUCCUACGGGAGGCAGCAGUGGGGAAUAUUGGACAAUGGGCGAAAGCCUGAUCCAGCAACGCCGCGUGAGGGAUGACGGCCUUCGGGUUGUAAACCUCUUUCAGCAGGGACGAAGCGCAAGUGACGGUACCUGCAGAAGAAGCACCGGCCAACUACGUG
This 463-nucleotide ribosomal RNA is filed under the name uncultured bacterium. Its description in RNAcentral is "partial 16S ribosomal RNA". It matches the Rfam family "Bacterial small subunit ribosomal RNA", at positions 28 to 507 of the family's 1533-position model. The record is from RNAcentral.